UACGGAAGGCAGCAGUGGGGAAUAUUGCACAAUGGGCGCAAGCCUGAUGCAGCCAUGCCGCGUGUAUGAAGAAGGCCUUCGGGUUGUAAAGUACUUUCAGUCGUGAGGAAGGUGUUAAGGUUAAUAACCUUAGCAAUUGACGUUAGCGACAGAAGAAGCACCGGCUAACUCCGUGCCAGCAGCCGCGGUAAUACGGAGGGUGCGAGCGUUAAUCGGAAUUACUGGGCGUAAAGGGCACGCAGGCGGUUAAUUAAGUUGGAUGUGAAAUCCCCGGGCUUAACCUGGGAAUGGCAUUCAAGACUGGUUAGCUAGAGUCUUGUAGAGGGGGUAGAAUUCCAUGUGUAGCGGUGAAAUGCGUAGAGAUGUGGAGGAAUACCGGGUGGCGAAGGCGGCCCCUGGGACAAAGGACUGACGCUCAUGUGCGAAAGCGUGGGGAGCGAAACAGGGAUUAGAUACC
Molecule: ribosomal RNA, 457 nt
Filed under: uncultured bacterium
Lineage: Bacteria
Description: bacterial SSU rRNA
Rfam family: Bacterial small subunit ribosomal RNA
Source: RNAcentral